GUGCCUAUUUUAUGUUGUGGGUUUUCAUGUUUAUUAUGGCAAUAUGUCUUGUUACUAUUUGCUGUUACUUUAAAAUGUUGCCUGACGCUGUAGGGGUUGGGUCAUUUGUGACUCACUUUCCUCCUCAGGUAUAUUACUUAACCUUGUGAAGAGCAUAAAUGCAGGGGAGCCGACCUCGUGAAGGGAGAGUUUGGUGUGGGAAGUAAACAGAGAGGGCCUGUGUCAUCAUGUAGCUAUUCUUCAGGCCGCAGCACCCUUCAAUGUGACCUGUUCUUGAGGGCAACCAUGUGUCAUGGACUUUUGCUGAGAAGAAUUACUAUUUAUAAGCACAAAAAAGUGGAGAAACAGAAAGCCAAAUCUGACACAUUCCACGCAAAACUCUAAAAAUUGACUGGACAAAAUUAUUGGCGCCUUCUCAAAAUUGUAAGAAAUAGUUGCAUUCCAAGUUGGGUGGGUACUCGCUCGGCGGUAUGUACGUUCUCUUCAGAAUCCUAUAGACUAGGGAGAUUACCUUUCCUGUCCCGUAGACACAACAGAAAGAGAGAGAAAUCUUUCAAAAGCGAGGGAAGUCCUCUCUUAGAUCACCAUUGCAUUCGCCCCUGAAGAGUUGGCAUACCCCAACGAAACGUAUCGAGCAUACAUACAUAGAUGCAUGAUGUUCAUACAGAUGAUUUUAUGUUUUUUAUACUGUUUUACUCCUAGAUCCUCAUUAUACCAUCAAGCCCCUCCAGUGGUUUUACUCCACGAUAUGCCAAGUACCAUGGUGUUAAUAUGCAUAUGUAAUUUGUAGCAUGUUUAUGCGAUUUUGUGGAUGCAAUUUUUGUCAUUCAGUAUGCUUUACAUGAUAUCACAAGACAUAAUAAAAUGCUCUUUUCUAAGA
Molecule: long non-coding RNA, 880 nt
Organism: Rana temporaria (common frog)
Lineage: Eukaryota; Metazoa; Chordata; Amphibia; Anura; Ranidae
Exons: 4
Source: RefSeq, a predicted model, not a curated record